CUACGGGUUGCAGCAGUGAGGAAUAUUGCACAAUGGGGGGAACCCUGAUGCAGCAACGCCGCGUGGAGGAUGACGCAUUUCGGUGUGUAAACUCCUUUUAUAUGUCAAGAAAAUGACGGUAGCAUAUGAAUAAGCACCGGCUAACUCCGUGCCAGCAGCCGCGGUAAUACGGAGGGUGCAAGCGUACUCGGAAUCACUGGGCGUAAAGGACGCGUAGGCGGGCUUGUAAGUCAGGUGUGAAAUCCUACAGCUUAACUGUAGAACUGCAGUUGAAACUACGAGCCUAGAGUAUGGGAGGGGCAGAUGGAAUUAGUGGUGUAGGGGUAAAAUCCGUAGAUAUCACUAGGAAUACCUAAAGCGAAGGCGAUCUGCUGGAACAUAACUGACGCUAAGGCGUGAAAGCGUGGGGAGCAAACAGGAUUAGAUACCCUCGUAGUC
Molecule: ribosomal RNA, 438 nt
Filed under: uncultured bacterium
Lineage: Bacteria
Description: partial 16S ribosomal RNA
Rfam family: Bacterial small subunit ribosomal RNA
Source: RNAcentral